RNAcentral lists this ribosomal RNA (253 nucleotides) under uncultured Staphylococcus sp. Its description in RNAcentral is "partial 16S ribosomal RNA". It matches the Rfam family "Bacterial small subunit ribosomal RNA", at positions 109 to 355 of the family's 1533-position model. Lineage: Bacteria; Bacillati; Bacillota; Bacilli; Caryophanales; Staphylococcaceae. The record is from RNAcentral.
AGUAACACGUGGAUAACCUACCUAUAAGACUGGGAUAACUUCGGGAAACCGGAGCUAAUACCGGAUAAUAUUUUGAACCGCAUGGUUCAAAAGUGAAAGACGGUCUUGCUGUCACUUAUAGAUGGAUCCGCGCUGCAUUAGCUAGUUGGUAAGGUAACGGCUUACCAAGGCAACGAUGCAUAGCCGACCUGAGAGGGUGAUCGGCCACACUGGAACUGAGACACGGUCCAGACUCAUACGGGAGGCAGCAGCC